AUUCGUAAGGUGAACUGCGGAAGGAUCAUU
RNAcentral lists this ribosomal RNA (30 nucleotides) under Aspergillus niger. Its description in RNAcentral is "partial 18S ribosomal RNA". The record is from RNAcentral. Lineage: Eukaryota; Fungi; Ascomycota; Eurotiomycetes; Eurotiales; Aspergillaceae.